This is a non-coding RNA of Xylaria digitata, 111 nucleotides long. NCBI's taxonomy places the organism in Eukaryota, Fungi, Ascomycota, Sordariomycetes, Xylariales, Xylariaceae. The record is from the annotation of a GenBank genome assembly.
UCCGAAUUGGUGUAGUGGCUAACAUUUGACGCUCUCAAAAACAUCGCCAUUUGUUAUGGUGUUGUAUUGAAAGGUGCCGUCAAGCCCGGGGUUCGAUUCUCCGAUUCGGAG